UCGCACCUACGGCAGCCACCAUUAGGAGUCGCAGCUCCGCACCUCCGGCAGUUACCAUUAAGAGUCGCAGCUCCCGCUGAGGUAUUACAAAUACAAAAGGACUAUGAAUAUGAUUGUUUGAGCAGGAGACCGACGUAGUAUUAAACUCCGUUUUCGAAUUUGCAAAAAUAAAAAAAUUCUAAGUCUCUAAAUAAUGUUUAUUUUUACUUGCCUUUAUAUAAUGUAAACUCUAUUUGUCCCCAAUUUUAUGGAACUAGAAUAAGAAGAAUAAUAAUUAACCUGCUAUAUAAUUUGUUCAAGAUCUAUUCAAAUUAAAAAGAAAGCCGAAGGGAGAUUUACUAUUAUAAAUACUCUACAAAAAUUUAUUCGAACCCAUCAAAAGCAACCGAUUGGUUCAAUUUUUAACAAUCAUGAAGUUCGGUUGGGUUUAAUUAUUAUGAAAACUGAUUUAGUCGGUUUAGUAUUCAAUUUUCUUGAUUUUCAAUCAAUAAAAACUAAAUCAAAUCGAUAUUUUAAAAUUUGUAUUUUUUUUUUUAUAAUUCAUAAAACUUGCCAUUGAAUGAGUUUUUUUUUUACUCAAUUUAAGUAAUUUAUUAUUAAUAAAUUAUAGUCAAAACAAUUUUCAAAUACAUCAAUUAUACAACCAACAUAUAUUUAAAAACUUAAAAUGUUAUUAAUAUGUUUUUCAUAUUUUUAAAUAUACUUUAAAAAUAAAUUUUAUUGUAAUGAUUUAUUUUUAAUUAUUUUUCAUAUUUAUAUAAUUAUUAUUUAAAAUAAUAUUUAAAAAAUAAGUAAAAAUUAUUAAAAGGUAUUAUCUAAAAAUAUUAUAUUUUUUGUUUUUUAAAAUAAAAGGAUGUGUGGAUCUUGCAUUUAUGCACGUGUUUCCACUCAAAUGGCGAACUCGCUUUUUAUUUGAAAAAAGAUUUAUUUUUUUAGAAAAUGACUUGGAGUCGCUACUUAUUUUUGUUUUAUUUUUAAAGAGAAAACAAAAUAAGAAAGAAAACCUUAAGUAUGACUCCUUAUUUGGAAAAGAAGGUUUGUGAAAAACCAAACCUGGAUUCGAGGAUCAGAUUACUUAUUGGAAAGGUACAGUGAAGACCGUAACACCCCUCUAAGCCCCUAAAAAUAAGUCUCUACUAAAUAAGAUGAAACAAGCAUGACAAUCAGUAAGGAAAUCAAUGGAUAUCAAAAUAAUCAUACACUGGAAGCCAAAACAUGCAUAAAGAAUAGUCAAAGUGAGAGUGAGUCCAUAUCUUAGCAGUGAACAAUAAUGCACUAUCAUGAAAUGGGGUUAGUGCAUAAUAGUGAGUACAAAAUGUAUCACAUGCAUCACUAAACAGAAUAAGAAACCAUUAUUGACAGACAUUGCACUUCACUCAAAUUUAUUUUUAUUUUAAAGAAACCAUCACUGAUGUUAGACCCCCACCAAAGCCCAAUUUAUUUUGUAUGAAUUAAUUCCACGAAUUCCAUGAUUUGGAAUUAUAGAAUUUUAUUCAUACUUAUUUUAAAACAAUAUGAAAAUCAAGAAGAAAAAAAAGUGAAAAAUGCUUGCCGAAGAUAAAAUGACAACAAAUUUUUAUUGAAAAUGGGAUUUUUGAGACCUAAAAAAUUUUAAGGAUGAAAAGUUGUGGAAUCAAAACAAGAUUUUUAUUUUGAAAAUCAAUUUUAAAAGACAUGCAUGAAGAUGGAUAAAGAAACACAUGGGUUUUGAAAAGGAGCAUAAGAGGGUGGCCAAUGAAAAAUGGGGUCAUGUAUGUGGGCCCGGGGUGGAGAUAGGCAAUCACUAAUGAGGGUGAUCCCCAUCUGGGUGGUGUACUGUACAAUGCAGAAAACCCAAUUUCGCUUCCACAUAGUUGUAUCUUUGCCAUUUCUUUAACUUUCACUUUUGCUUUGGCAACAUUUGGAUUGGUUGGCACGACCUUUGCUUACUCAACCUUUGGCUCAGGUUUUCUAUUUUCUAAAGAAUAGGUUGGGAGACCUUCCUUUGAAUUAGAAUCAUCAAAUUCAGAAUUUUUUUGAGUCAAACUCAAAUCAUGGACUUGUAUUAUAGUCUACAUGUGGGGUCGACAAAGGUAAUCUGGUAGAGGUUUGAAUGCAUGUAGAUGGCAGCAUGGGGGUCAAGGAGUGCUAAAGUGGGAUUGCAUGAUAAUUCCUCCCUUGCCAAUGAUGAAGAGUCACCUGAGAUCUCCAAGACCACUUGACUUUCUAUCCGUUUAGACCCAUGCGAGAUGCGAGAGCACACCUGGCAGCGGGACUACAUUUGGCAUGAGAGUCACGUGAAGAAAUGGAGCGGGGUCAGAGAUUAAAAGGGCUCAUGCAAAGGAUUGAAGGAACUGAUGUAGGUCAUUAGAGAUAGAACAAGGCGGUAGCUUAUCUCCUCUUCCCUACAACCUUAUAGUCUUGUGGAUAGUGGAACCUUUCAUUCCGACGUGGAACAACAAGAUCUUUAAUUGUGCCAAAUACAGCUUGCUUAAACAGAUUGUACAGUCCCAUCUUCACCAAUUACUUCCAACUCUAGAGAUGUCUUCUCCUUCAUAACCACCAAAUUCAAGGUCUUGAUCCUUGUCUGGGUUACUCGGUUCAGCUUCCUAAAAGCUGCAUCUAUAUGUCUUGCUUUCACCUGAGUCAUUCCUCUGUUCAUUCUCAAGCUUCUAAUAUUUGUAGCAUGGUCAGGACCAUGUGCUACGCCUUUGACAUGUAUGCAAGCUCAUCAACUUUUGAUGGAUUUCCAACUCUUGCCUCUUCCUAAACAGUGUCAAGGUUUCCUCACAUCCUCCAUUAAUUUCUGCCAAUGCUAGAAAAUAUCAUGCAUGCCAUGCAGGUAGGGGGGGUGGGAAAGGUGACAAGGAGAUCGGGUAGAGGGUUGGGUAUAGGUGGAUGGUUGCGAAAGUGAUGAGUUGAAUGGGUGAGUGCAUUGUGGUGAUCAGGUUUGGUGGAUAUGAAGAAUGGGGACUGUAGGGACCCCUCAUCCUGAGAACACGUGCCAUGCACCUCAUGGUGACACGUGGCACGCAUUACACGUGACGCGCCUCUCAUAUCCGGACUGCCUCAAGGAAGUUCAAAAGACACUUAUAAGCAUAAUACAUCCGGACGGCUUCCACAAAUACAUCCGGAUGACCAACAUAAGCCAUCCGAAUAUAAUUGUCCGGGUCAUUGACUGAAGUAAGCAAGUCUUACACGUUAUCACAAACAGCCUGCCAUGGCCCACGUUCCACCACCUGCAGAGUGAAAGGACAAGAUAAAGUGACAAGUCACUUCCCACGAUCACUUCACACGAUCACCUACCACGAUCUCUGUCAACCGCCCGUAGGGUGAUGAUAGCCCUGCCACCACCUAAUGUCAUCAUAACAACACAAAAUAUCUCCCUAGCAUUAAAGAGGGAAUCAAAGCCUCUGAUACUAUAUAUAUCAGCCUUCACACAAAGAGGAAGGUAAACUUGCUAUACCUAAUAAAAAGCCAACUAAUUAUCUCUCUCUAAACCAUGGCUGACAAAACCAUCGGAGGGUGCGUCCAGACACCCUGUCCGGACGUCUUUUGCAGGAAAACCGACUGAAUCAAGAACCUAUAUUGGUUGAGAACCGCGCAUCCAUCCAUUUGGCAACUACGUGGAUCGUCAGAGACGCGAGGCCUCAACAUUGGCGCCGUCUGUGGGAAAUUUUCAUUUUGAUUCAGUCACUAGCAAAGAUGGCCACACCUUCCCGAAGCCGUUCAUCUGGUAGGGGAGAGGAAGAUAAUUUUGAAUGACGUCAAACCAUCGAAAGAAGACAGUUGGCAAGCGAACGACAACUGAAAGCUCUCCUCCAGGAGACAGAAAGAUUGAGAGAAGAAAACGUUGUAUUACGCAUCCAGGCUUCAACAUUAGGGCCUCCUCAACGUCAGCGUUCAAGAGGCCAAGUAGCAAACUCAAGGCCUCAACAAGAACCAGAAUUAAUAUAUCCUGGGACAAUAGGAGCUAUCCCAGGAGCAUGCAACAUGAGGCCUCAUGAGCCACACACGCCUAAGCCCCGAGCUCCCCGUGAGGAAAGCUCAGACUCUACACACUUUUCAGCAAAAAGACAACGUGAUAGAAUAUCUCAGUUGUCAAAUUCAAUGCACGCAAGACUAGGCCCACAAGAGCCUGGAAGACCAAGGCCACCGGUAGCCACAACCUAGGCACCACGCCCUGACCCUAUGGUCACCCCCAUAGUGCAGAACAUGCACCCGCAUCGUGACCCCAUGGUCACCCCCAUGAUGCGGAACGUUCAUUCGCACCUAAUGGUACAGCAAGCUGGGGGAAACCUUCCAAACGAGCCACCCAUUGGCUCCAUCAGCAAAAAGCUGGAUGACAUGCUCUCCACGCCCUUCUACUCUCAUAUCAUUCAUUAUGAGCCCCUAAGGGGAUUCCUCGUACCAAAAUUUUCCACAUACGAUGGGACCAGCGAUUCCUUCGAUCAUAUCAUGCAUUAUCGAUAGCUCGUGACGCUCGAUAUUGGCAACGACGCACUACUGUGUAAAGUAUUUCCCGCCAGCCUACAAGGACAGACCCUCUCAUGGUUUCAUCGCCUACCUCCCAACUCUGUUGGCAAUUUCAGGGACCUGUCCGAAGCUUUUGUGAGACAAUACUUGUGCUCCGCCCGACACAAGCAGAACAUUAGCACUCUGCAAAACAUAAAAAUGCAAGAUAACGAAUCCUUAAGGGAAUUUGUGAAGCGAUUUGGCCAAGCCGUACUCCAAGUAGAGGCUUGCAGCAUGGAUGUUGUCCUACAGAUCUUCAAGCGAAGCAUCUGUCCAGACACUCCAUUUUUCGAAUCACUAGCCAAAAAGCCUCCUACAACGAUGGACGACUUGUUCAGACGAGCCAACAAAUAUUCAAUGCUCGAAGAUGACGUGCGUGCAGCCACCCAGCAAGUUUUGGUUGCCGGACGACCAUCUAGAGGUGACGCGGAAAGAAAUGCUAAACCUCCGGACCGGCCAAGGCCGUCCGAUCGAAGGCAGGAGGGACCGAGUCGCCCGGAUAGACCGUCCCUCAUGCCUCUUUCCAUAUCAUAUGGAAAACUUCUCCCUAUGAUCCAAGGCUUGUCUGACUUCAGAUGGCCCAAACCCCAAGGAACGGACCCAUCCACAAGGGAUCAUAGCAAGAGAUGUGCCUUCCACAAGGAACACGGUCACACGACAGAAACAUGCAGAAGCCUCCAGUAUCUGGUCGAGAGGCUCGUCAAGGCAGGACACCUAAAGCAAUACAUCCUCUCAAACGCUGGAGGAAAAGUCACUUCCCAAAAUAACAACCCUGGAGCCCCCAGGGCCCUAGCCGCUCCCAAGGCCAUUAUAAACUAUAUUAACGGAGGCCCAUCUAACGAGGAGUACGACUCUAGGCGAAAAAGACAAAAGUUGUUGCGGGCCGCAUCAAUACGCGAACGCAUCAAUUCCAUCCGGCCUGGGCUAACUAGAGGGGGCCCUCGCCCCAUAGAUGGGACAAUCAUUUUCCCACCAGUAGAUCCUACCCGGACACUGCAGCCACAUCGCGACGCCCUCAUCCUGUCCCUAGAGAUAGGAGACUUCGAUGUAAGACGUAUCUUGGUUGACCCGGGUAGCUCGGCCGACCUGCUACAAGCAUCAGUCGUUGGCCACAUGGGACACAGUCUCACAGACCUCGAAAACCUUGGACGAGUCCUGUCCGGAUUCAACGGAUCGUCAACUACAUCCUUGGGAGACAUUAUACCGCCGGUUCAAGCUAGCCCAGUCACUCUCAACGUGCAAUUCUCGGUGGUCCAGGAGUUGUCACCCUUUAAUGUCAUCUUAGGGCGCACGUGACUACACUACAUGAAAGCCAUUUCCUCUACAUAUCAUCAAAUGGUGAGUUUCUUCACCGACGAGGGACAAAUUGACCUAUAUGGCAGCCAAUUAGCCGCUCGCCAAUGCUACCAGAUAGCACGAGAGGCAGGAACCAGCCAAGAGGAUGCACCCCCCCUGACCCUAGCCAUACAUGUGACCAAUAACAAUUAUUGGGUCCGGCGGAGAAAGAUCCCCCGGCAGCAGAUCCCUUACAAACAAUCCAAAUUUCAGAGGAAAGUACUCACCUCACAAACAUCAGUUCCCUCAUUACACCAGAAGAGGCCCAGAGCAUGCAAAACGUCCUCAGGCGAGACCAUGACAUCUUCGCAUGGGCACAUUCUGAUAUAAAGGGAAUUCAUCCCUCUAUUGCAUCUCACAGGCUUAACGUCUUUUCAACUGCCAGACCCAUCCGGCAAAAGAUUAGGCGCUUUCACCUGAAUAGACAAAAAGUCAUCCGGAAUGAGAUUGACAAAUUGCUGGAAGCCGGAUUCAUCAGAGAAGUAGCUUAUCCGGAUUGGUUAGCCAACGUAGUGGUGGUGCCAAAAAAAGAAGGAAAAUGGCGGGUUUGCGUAGAUUACACCAACCUCAAUAAUGCAUGUCCAAAAGACAGUUUCCCUUUGCCACGAAUGGAUCAAAUUGUGGACUCCAUUGCCGGGUAAGGGAUGCUCUCUUUCUUGGAUGCCUUCUCCGGAUAUCACCAGAUUCCCAUGUCUCCGGCUGACGAAGAAAAAACAGCAUUCAUAACGCCAUACGACCUCUAUUGCUACAAAGUCAUGCCAUUCAGACUCAAAAACACUGGCGCCACUUAUCAGAGACUGAUGACAAAGAUCUUCAAACCUCUGAUAGGCCACACAGUAGAGGUCUAUAUUGAUGAUAUCGUGGUUAAAAGCAAAACCCGAGAAAAACAUGUUCUUCAUUUACAAGAGGUUUUUCACCUUCUGAGGAAGUAUGACAUGAAGCUGAAUCCUUCCAAAUGCGCCUUUGGAGUAAGUGCUAGAAAAUUUCUGGGUUUUAUGGUCAGCCAAAGAGGGAUAGAGGUUAACCCGGAUCAAGUCAAGACAGUCAUGGAAACACCUCCCCUUAGGAGCAAGAAGGAAUUACAGCGCCUCACGGGCAAACUCGUCGCACUAGGGCGUUUUAUAGCCUGCUUCACUGAUGAAUUGCGACUUUUCUUCUUGGCAAUUCGAAAGGCUGGAGCAAAUGGUUGGACGGACAGCUGUCAAAACGCUUUUGAAAAGAUUAAACACUGUCUUACGCAGCCACCCAUCUUGAGCAGUCCCGUUCCAAAAGAAAAAUUGUACAUGUAUCUGGCUGUAUCAGAGUGGGCAAUCAGCGCUGUUCUAUUCCGCUGCCCCUCACCAAAGGAGUAGAAACCAAUCUACUACGUUAGCAGAGCCUUGGCGGACGUAGAAACCAGGUACUCAAAAAUGGAGCUAACAACCUUAGCCCUUCGUAGCGCUGCCCAGAAGCUCCGCUCCUAUUUCCAAGCCCACCCAGUGGUCGUGUUGACCGACCAACCCCUUCGCAACAUUCUGCACAAGCCAGACUUAACCGGAAGAAUGCUGCAAUGGGCUAUCGAAUUGAGCGAGUUUGGAAUCGAAUUCCAACCCAGAUUGUCCAUGAAAGGCCAAGUAAUGGCUGACUUCGUGCUAGAAUAUGCCCGAAGGCCUAAUCAACACCAGGAAUCUAAUGAAAAAGAAUGGUGGACUUUGCGAGUUGAUGGAGCCUCACGAUCAUCAGGGUCCGGAGUCGGACUUCUGCUAUAGUCCCCAACCGGGGAGCACCUGGAGCAAGCCAUUCGGCUGGGAUUCCCUACCUCCAACAAUGAAGCAGAAUAUGAGGUCAUCUUAUCCGGAUUGGGCCUCGCUUUGGCCUUAUCCGUUUCCAAACUCCGGAUCUAUAACGAUUCGCAACUCGUAGUAAGACACGUCCAGAAGGAAUACGAAGCCAAGGACGCACGCAUGGCGCGGUAUCUGACCAAAGUAAGAGACACCUUACAUCGAUUCAUCGAAUGGACAAUCGAAAAGAUCAAAUGAACCGAAAAUAGGCGCGCUGACCCUUUGGCCGGCAUAACUGCCUCCCUCCCCAUCAAAGAAGCUAUUCUAUUGCCUGUACAUGUGCAAUCCAACCCUUCUGUCGCAGAAACCUCUACUUGCAACACCAUUGAGGCAAGCCAAGCAGACGGCCAAGAUUGGACGAACAACAUUACAGAAUACCUCCGGACAGACACUUUGCCCGGAAAUCCCAAACAGGCACACAAGAUCCGGGUACAAACUGCCCGUUUCACCAUAAUCGGGGGGCACUUGUACAAGCGAUCCUUCACGGGACCCUACCUUCGGUGCCUUAAGUCAUUCGGAGGCCCAGUAUGUGUUAGCUGAGUUGCAUGAGGGAAUAUGCGAAAAUCAUUCAGGAGGACGGUCUCUGACACAUAGAGCCCAUUCACAAGGAUAUUAUUGGCCCACGAUGAAGAAAGAUGCAGCAGCAUAUGUCAAAAAAUGUGAUAAAUGUCAAAGGUAUGCUCCCAUUCCACAUAUGCCAUCAGAAACAUUAAAGCCAAUAUCAGGCCCAUGACCCUUCGCGCAAUGGGGCAUGGAUAUAGUGGGACCCCUCCCAGUUGCACCUGCCCAAAAGAAAUUUUUGCUCGUUGCCACAUAUUACUUCAGUAAAUGGGUGGAAGCUGAAACGUAUGCUAGCAUCAAAGACAAAGAUGUCACCAAGUUUGUAUGGAAAAACAUCGUCUGUCGUUUUGGAAUUCCACACACCAUUAUAGCCGACAAUGGUCCACAGUUUGAUAGUAUGGCGUUUCGAAAUUUUUGUUUGGAACUGAACAUCUAGAAUUCAUACUCUACACCCCGUUAUCCUCAAAGGAAUGGGCAAACAGAAGUCACAAACAAAAUUCUGAUAAUUGCCUUAAAGAAAAUGCUCGAGCAAGCCAAAGGAAAGUGGGUGGAAGAGUUGCCCGGCGUCCUGUGGGCCUAUCGCACCACACCCGGACGACCAACAGGAAACACUCCCUUCGCCCUCGCAUACGGUAUGGACGUAGUAAUUCCUACCGAAAUUGGGUUACCCACUAUCCGGACUGAAGCAGCAAAACAGGUUGAUGCAAGCGCGGAGUUAGGAAGAAACUUGGAUUUGGAAAAUGAAGUAAGAGAAAGCGCAGCCAUCCGCAUGGCAGACUAUCAGCAAAGAGCAUCCGCUCAUUACAAUCACAAAGUAAGGUCCAGAAGCUUCAAAAAUGGUACGCUGGUCCUUAGAAAAGUUUUUGAAAAUACUGCUGAAAUAGGCGCAGGAAAAUUUCAAGCCAACUGGGAAGGACCCUAUAUAGUAUCUAAGUCAAAUGAAAAUGGAGCUUAUCAUUUACAAAAGCUAGACGGAACUCCAUUACUCAGACCAUGGAAUGUGUCGAAUUUAAAGCAGUAUUAUCAAUAAAAGCAAGAGACAAGUACAAAUGUCAAAAAUGAAUGUUUUAUUGAUAUUUGUGAAGAUAAGUACAAGGAGGUCUCCGGACAACAACAGUUACAGAAAGAAGAUAGUAGCAAAGAUUACAAAAAGAAAAACUAUCAGGGAGCAGGCUUGUCGAGCAGCUUCUUCUCUUCACCCGGAGGAAUUGAAGGGACAUCCCGUUUAAUGCCAUUUUUCUUCAUACAGCAACGAUAGCCAAAGAAGAACAUAUCAUCCACUUGCUUUUGGUAGUCCGCUUCAAGUUCCUCCCUCUCUGUAGCAAACUCGCCCUCUGGCUCUUUUUUUUGCGCUGAUAAGCGCAACUGCAGAUCUUCCCUCUGCUUCUUUUCAAUUGAAACUUCCGUCCGGAUGUGCCUCACUUCCCCCCUCAACAGAGCCACCUCAUCCUCCGCCUCAUGCAAGCGGGCCUCCAUUGAUUCCUCUCGGCUCUUUGCCUCAGCUAAAUCCACAUAGAGAGCCUCAUUCUCCUCCCCGAGCGGUGGAUAAACUGGCUUUAGCCUCCUCCAGUCUCAAGCGCAACUGAUCUUCACUAUUUUUUCGCUGAGACACGAAGGCCUUCAUGUAAUCGAUGGUCCGCAGCAGGUCAGUAAAUAGAUCGUGUUGUUGAGCCAUGCCGCGAAGACCACUCACCAGCUACAAACAAAACACACAGACAACAAAAGCGAAAUUAGAAGUCAUACCACAAACACGUCAGCAUGACAAAAAAUCAAGUAACACAAAGAACAGUAUACCGUUUCCACCACUUCAAACAUCUUUGCUGAAGGCAUGGCAGUAGUCGAGCCGGGUGGAAUCUGCUUCAGCUUCUCUUCCAAUUCCGCAUAGCUAAAAGGGCUAGCAGAAAUGCAAGCCGCAUCAUCAGCAGGAUCCCCCCCGGAUGAGGCGUUGGAAAGUAACUCCUCCCCCGGAUCUGGGGCCCCUUCAUUUUCAGCCGGAUAGGUCUCUCCGGGCGUACCCUCAUCCGGGACCACCAUCGGGGUGGCUGGGGUCUCAGGUGCCAUCUCCGUCUCGCUCCCCUCCGGAUGGUCAUCAUGGACGGAUGAGCAACUGACUUCGAUGGUCUCCUGGAAUCGAUCUUGAAGCCGCCCGAGGAGGCCGGACUUUAGGUUUCGCGCCGAACUCGGUCUUUUUGAGGCUGGCCCCUUCACCGGUACAAGGGCAAGAGGACUUGGCUCGCAGGAAGGCAAACCCUGGUUUUCUGCCCCCAUUUCCUCCAUUGGGGUCGCCAUAGGAGGAGAUGCGACCGUGCAUAAAGCCUCUGUCGCAUCUGCGUCCGGACGAGGGGAGCUGGGUUGAUUUAUUGACGUGGCUUCUUCUACCACAAGAGCCAAGUGGCCAGCCGCCGACAUUGAGGGACCGGAGUGGUUCAGGUCCGCCAGAUGUCCGGGUCCGCCAGAUGUCCGGGUCCGCUUGAAAUGGAAAUUGGGACGGGAUUUUUCGGCUCCUUUAUUGUUACCUCCUUCACAUAGGUUGAAUGAGGAAUUACAACCUCCUUUGGAGGAGGGGGGAUUUCCACUUCCUUCCCCUUAUUUGAAGUCUUCUUUUUCUUCUUCGCUGGAGCGUCAGCAGGAGGAGAGGACGGGACCGUUUUUUCCCCGGAGCCUUCCGCAAGGUUCCCUCAUUUUUUCUCCUCUCCCGAUCAUCAAGGAGUGCUCGGCGUUUCUCAGCGUCCGCCUGUUGCACCUCCUCGUAGAAAAGGAGGUCUUUUAGAACGUAAUGCUCCCUAGGCACCACCUUCUUUGACAGUUUCCUGGGGAGAAUAUUGAUGAUAUACUCCUGGGACUCCCGGACAACAGCCAUCAGGUUCCGCGCAGUGAGCAGCGUCACAUGCUACCUCUCGGUGGCAGUAAUCUCGAACAACUUGUUCAACCGAACAAAUGACGCUUUUUCUACCCACUCAACUACGUGACCCCUCUUGUCCGGACCUGCAUUAUCAUCAGCCAAAGGUAAUUAUUCCAUCUGAUAAAACCAGCAAGCAGGACAACAAGACAAAUACCGGACAAAAACCGCAAGAUGACUUACCCGGAAGCACCAAUGAGUAGUUUGGAGAAAAAGGUCGCUCCGGGUGCUCCAAUAGCCCCGCCCACACACCCCGGACCACCACAUAUCCCUUCGCCCCUCCCUUCGUCGAAUCCGGCAACUCAGUCACCAAUUGAAGGGAGGGCAGGUGGGCAGCCAUGCUAAAGAUAUCAUUUUUUCCCUUCUUCAGGGAGUAAACAAAAAGAACCUCCAGCAACGAGAGGCCAAGGUUGAACAGCAUGUUUAGAAUGCUGCAUCCCAUCAGCACCCGGACUAUAUUGGGGUGGAUAAAGGCUGGUGGGAUCUGGGUGAAGUGGAGGAAUUCCUUGAAUAGUGCUGGGAGAGGAAACCGGAGCCCGACAGCGAAUUGCUCAUUUGAGAAAGUGAUGGCACGACAUUCAGCUUUCUCAGUCGACACGACUUCCUCCUCGUCCAAAAAUUCCACAAACGUGCCAUUCGGGAUACAGAAACGUUCCCGGAACUCUUUUACACUCAGCUUAUCUGCAGAUUUCUCAUGAACAUCGCCGGCCGGACCAGACGAAACAAUUUCCUUGUUUACAGACAUUUUCUAGCCCGAGACUGAAAUGGAAACUACACAAAAAGGUACCAACAGUCAAAAACACCCUCAACAAAACCCUAGAAAUAAAAAAAACACAUCAACAUUUACACACACAGUCGCAAACAAGUUGCCCAAACAAACCAGAAACAACCCAACCAAGGCAAACACAAAGCAAGAAAAGCCAGGAACGAUGCACAUACCAAGUGUAAAUCUGGAAGAAAAAGGUUGAAACACCGCAAACGCAGUCACAAGUGCGAUACAGAAAUCACCGGUAGAAAAACUCUAGGGUUUCACUCAGAAAAAAAGAAGGUACGCAGAAGGUAGAAGAAGAAAGCACUCUCAGAAAAACGCAGUAGGAAAAAUACAACAGUAGGCACAGUAUGCUAUUUAUAGGGAGACAGCCCCUCGGUAUACCAAACGAUCAGCUACACUAUCAUUAAAACGACAUGCUGCCUGGGAAUACACAGAGACGACGACUCAUCAUAAAUGCUCCUCUCUCUCUCCACUCUCGUUCACCACGUGGCCCAAUGAGCGCAAAAAGGUAGCCUCAGUUUCAAAAAAUCAAUUAUUUUUAACCCGCCCAUUUUUGCACGGGCAAAAUGGGCAAGUUAAAAAGGGGAGCAUUGUAGGGACCCCUCCUCCUGAGAACACGUGCCACGCACCUCAUGGUGACAUGUGGCACGCAUUACCACCCCGAUACACGUGACGCGCCUCUCAUAUCCGGACUGCCUCAAGGAAGUUCAAACGACACUUAUAAGCAUAAUACAUCCAGACGGCUUCCACAAAUACAUCCGGAUGACCAACAUAAGCCAUCCGAAUAUAAUUGUCUGGGUCAUUGACUAAAGUAAGCAAGUCUUACACGUUAUCACAAACAGCCUGCCAUGGCUCACGUUCCACCACCUGUAGAGUGAAAGGACAAGAUGAAGUGACAACAAGUCACUUCCCACGAUCUCUAUCAGCCGCCCGUAGGGUGAUGAUAGCCCUGCCACCACCUAAUGUCAUCAUAACAACACAAAAUAUCUCCCUACCAUUAAAGAGGGAAUCAAAGCCUCUGAUACUAUAUAUAUCAACCUUCACACAAAGAGGAAGGUAAGCUUGCUAUACCUAAUAAAAAGCCAACUAAUUAUCUCUCUCUAAACCAUGGUUGACAAAACCAUCGGAGGGUGCGUCCGGACACCCUAUCCGGACGUCUUUUGCAGGAAAACUGACUGAAUCAAGAACCUAUAUUGGUUGAGAACCGCGCAUCCAUCCAUUUGGCAACUACGUGGAUCGUCAGAGACGCGAGGCCUCAACAGGGACUGAUGGGUAUGAAGGGUGUGGGUUAUGAUUAAUGGAAUGGGUGGUGGAAGGUAGUGAGAGAAGUGGGUUUAGUGGGUUUUGAAAUAUGGAAAUAUAGGUAUGGUGGUGGAAUAAGUUGCUGGUAGUGGGUGUGAUAAAUGGGAAGAUAGUGAGUUUGUCAUGACGUUUCAGACAAGAGCGGUUUGGCUUGAGAUUCAGGUUUGAUAGAAUGGGGUUUUAGUGAAGGGUUUUACAAAGGUUUUGGGUGGCCAUGCAUGACAAUGCAAAGGUGGGAUAGAUGGUGGUUACAACUGCACUUGCGUCCUUAGGCACCCCAUCACCUCGGUAUUUCAAGUAGCAUGUCGUGUUCUUGCCCUGGCAAGGGUCACACUGGGCUAUCAUAGAAGAGGGCUCAAAAGCACUAUUGGUAAUUUGCUUCUAUAAGUUGCUUAUGGUAUGCCUUUUCAAUAGAAAUCACAGGAGCAUAAGAAACUUCUCUUGGACUUGUGUACCAAUCGAUUCCCAUGAGCAAUAUUUCCUUCUUAAAAAAGUCUUGUUUUUUUUCUUUUAUCUAUUCAACACUUCAAUUUCCCCAGAUGCCUACUACUCAUGCAUUCAGUUCCAAAAGUGUUCUGAAUCAAGAGAAGGCGCCGACACUAGGGGACCCCUCGGGAUGUGUCCCUAUAGAAGCCUAAUCCAUGCUAACAAGGCUCUCAUCUUCACAUUCAAGCACUGCUCUCCGGAAGCACCAGGGGUACUCUUCACUCUAAUUAAUGGUGCCAACAGAAUCAAUUAUGAGCUUGGAAGACACUCUCAACAGCUAGACUUCUUCCAUAGCUAAAUCUAUUAGACCAACUUGAGCUCUCCCAGAAGCACCCCGAUCAAGAUGGCCAACCCAAACAUGAUACCCAACACUCUAAAAAUACCAGAAACAGAGGAGAAAGUAAAAAAAAAACAAAAACAAAAACAAAAACAAAAACAAAGCAUGCACAAACAAAAAUAAUAUGGUUAAACCUAGCUCCAUUUCAUAAAGGUCAAUGGGCUAGAUACAGGUGGAAUCAAAAGGAAGCAAGAGCAUGAUCUUUGAUAAUAAGAUUCAGUGAUGGAUCCAUAUUCAAGUCGUUCAUGAACAGAGAAAUGCACGAGUUGCUUACAAAAAGAACUAAAAAAACCAUAUUAGAAUCAACAAAAAUGCAUUAAAAUCGGUCUUAGAUUUCACAAAUAUGCACAAUAUCUGAUGUCAACAUUCAAGCACCAAGAUGAACCCAAAAUCAGCAGGAAACAAGGGAGAAUAGUCUAAAAUGGGAAAAUGUAAAAUAUGUUGUAAUCAUACCCGGAUAAGAAAAAGAGUGGUGAGCUGAUUCUCUGUUUUUUCUCUUUCUCUUUUUCACUUCUUGUCUUUGCUACUCCAAACGCCCCUUUCUCCUUUCUAACUCCCUAUAGAAUGACCCUCACUUAAGCUGAAAUUGUCUCUCUACCGAUUCACUAUUUCUAUUUCACACAUUUUUUUCAGCUCUCACUUAAAACCCUUGAAUCCCAGAAAAAGAAAACCUAUUCCUCUCAUCCUCAGUUCCUUUGUAAAACCCUUUUCCUUUUCUUUCCUUAGUUGGUUUCUUCCUUACGCUCCCCUCCCCCCAACGACCUCAAAACUGUCCUCAAAAUCUUCUCACACACCUGUCACUUGCUGAUUGCCUCUUCCAAAAACGCCUACUUCCACUAACAGGGCAGCUGCCACUUCCUAAUGACCUCUCCAAAGAUGACACGUGGACCUCUAAAAACCUACCAUGUGGCAAAAACAAAUAAGUGCAAAAAAUAAACCCAAAACGGGGGUUUACAGGACUCCCCCGCCUCCUUUGGCUGCUUCGAGCCCUCUACCACCCCAACAAUGAGCACUUCCUCCACCUCAGUAGCUGCGUAAGCCCAUAAGAGAGGGCGGAGCUUUCCGCAUCUAUUGGGUCUGUUGUUGUCUUCGCCGUUGCAGAGAAUGUUAAUGUUGUUGGGAACGUUGAUGCGGUGAAUCUUCACGACUCCAUGCCCAUUGCUUCCCUGCUUCUAUUAGACACAAAUAACAAUAAUUAAAGUCUUUUUUUAAUGAAGCAACAAAGGACUUCAUAGAUUUCCUCUUCAACCUUCGGUUUUUGCCCAUUGGAACUGUGGUCAAUAUCCUUGCAAAGAAGAGCAAUGCAGGUGGUUUUGGUAACUAGUAUGAAAUUGUCAAAAAUCUCAAUGAAAGCACCUACCAUAACUGGACUCACACUUAAUUAAACAAUUAUAUUAAGUUUUGUUUGGCUCUAUGAUAGGGUUUGAAGAUGCUGAAGGAAGGUUGGUUAUGUGAGAUAUUUCAUGAGAACAUUGCCUACACCAUCACUAAGAAAGAAUAGAACUCGGAAAAAAUAUAUAAAUACUUUAGAGGAUAAGGGAAAGAACAAAAAUUCAAAACCAUACUAACAAGAAGAGAAUCAAAACCAUUAUUAAAGGAGGAGAAAGGAAAGAACCAAAACCACUUUGUCUUUGCUUAAUUAUAUAAUGAAUUUAAAACAAGAAAAAAAAAACACUUUUUAGGAUCGAGUAGGGAGAGAAUCAAAAUUCAAAACCAUACUUGCAAAGAAGAAAACCAAAACCAUUAAUUGAGGAGAAAGGAAAGAACCAAAACUACUUUGUCUUUGCUUAUAUAAUGAAUUUAAAACAAGAAGAAAAAAUAAAAAUUUUUAGAAGGUAAAGAAUCAAAAUUCAAAACCAUACUUGUAAGAAAAGGACCAUUAAUUGAGGAGAAAGGAAAGAACCAAAACCACUUUGUCUUUGCUUAUAUAAUGAAUCUAAAACAAGAAGAGAGCCAUUAUUUCCACUUCAAGAUCACUAUUUAGCUAUUUUAAUUUCAUCUCCUUUUAUGUUCUCUCUAUUUGAGUUUUCUGUAGAAGCUCAAUUCUAGGUAAAGUUAGUGGACUACUUUUCUUUUGGAAAUGGCUUCCAAUCCAUAUAAGCUUAUCAAACUUGGUUGAGUUAUAAGUUUGUCAAUUUCCUUGUUUUCUUGAUGAAUUAAUCCAUAUAGAUAUUAUCUGCUUAUAUGUUUAUUGAUUUCUUUAUUUUCUUGAUAGAUUAAUCUGUGUAGAUAUUGUUCAUUUUGGACUUAAAGAAUUCUCACGAUUUAAAAACGUGUUUAUAAAAUUAGGAAGAAUUCAUACAUAAAUAGCAUCAAAUUUUUUUUUUUCUCCUAUCUAAUUUGGGAUUUUUGGUUUAUAUAUAGCAACAAUAUCUACAGGAUUGAAAUUGAAUUAUUAUAUAACUAAUCUUGGUUUUAUGAUCCAAUUCAUGCAUGGCAACCAAAGUGACCCCUAAGAUGAGCUUGAAGCUUCUAAUCAACAAAAAUGAUGAUAAAGUUGUCUUCGCUGAAGCUGAAAAAGAUUUCGUAGAUUUCCUAUUCAACCUUCUGACUUUGCCGAUUGGCACCACGACGAGUUUUCUUCCAAAAGGAAUUUGCCUAGGAGGCCUGCAUGAGAGUAUCAAAAAACUCGAUGGAGCUUACCUGCAACCUAACCAGAGCGCGGACUCGCCCCUGAAAUUGAAUACACUAGCCUAUGCUAUUCUUCCUUUCUUUAAUUCUUCUUCAUCGAGGAGUCAUGGUCAUGUGCAGGGCUUAGUUACCUACAUGGUGCCUGAUGACUUGUCGAUUACACCCAUGUCCAUGGCAACAACCAUGGCUUUGUUUAAGAAGUACAACAUAGAAGAAGUUGAUGUUCUCGAGGAGAAGAUGGUUGCAAUUAGCCUUGAUGAGGUAAACAAUUAUCUGGCUUGUUGGGUUUUAAUUGAUUUCUUUUCUGGCUUAUUCUCUUGCAGAUUUGGUUGGGGUUUGGAGUUAAUUUUUUUCCCAUAACAUAAUUAAUUAGGAGAUAUUACUUGUAAAUCAAUUAUUAAAUUAUUAUACCUUGUUGGGUAAUUGAUUUUUGAAAUAGUUUUCUAUUCAACAAAAUAAAAAGAAAAAACAUAUUUUCAAUUAGGAAAUAAAAAACAUGAUGUUUUUAAAUUAAGUUUUUUAGUUAAUUAUUUCCAUUUAUUUUCUAAGAUUUAUUCUAAAAAUAAUAAUAUAAAUAUGGAAGAAUGAUUAAAAAUAAAAUAUUACAUGUAACACUAUUUUUAAAACAUAUCUAGAAACAUUAAAAAAAAAAAAAAGAAUUACAGAACGUUUUAGAUUCUUCAAUAGGCUUGUUCUGCAAAAUAUCAUAAAUAAUUUUAAAAAACCAUUCUCAAAAAGUUUUUUCCAUGAAUGUUUUAAAAAACAUAUCCUAAAUUUUUUUCUAAAGUUUUGAAAGGAAUUUUCUGCCAACCAUCUACCAUUAAACCGCCUAGCCAUCAAAUUUACCGUCAACCACUGACCCUUGAACUGCCUAGCCAUCAAAUCGACUGCCAACCAUCAACCAUUGAACCGCCUCGCCAUCAAACGGACUGCAAACCCCGCCUAAACCAGCAACCACAUUGGUGACCAUCCAAAUAAAGCCCAUGUUGGGCUCUAUGGUAAACCCAGGAGUUGUGGAGAUGUCAUUCCUUUGGAUGCGUAAUGUAUUAAAAGGCCUCCUCGUUUUUAUCACCACCAGAUGUGGGAUUGAUUAGUUUCAAGAAAAGUCAAUGAAAAAAAAAUCCCACCUCAAGUUGAGGAGAUAGCAUAGGCACCAUUCGGCUACACACAUUUAAAUGCUAAACCAUCAAAAGCAACCAAGCUGAUUCAAUUUUUAACAAUUGUGAAGUUUUGGUUAGGUUUUGUUAUUGUGGAAAUUGAUUUAGUUGAUUCAAUUUUCAAUUUUCUUGAUUCCUAAUCAAUAAAAAUUAAAUCAAAUUGAUAUUUCUUAUAAUUUAUAAUGGUUUCCCGUUGAAUGAAUUUUUUUUUUUUUAUCUGUUACUUUCAUUAUUAUGUAUAUUACAUGGACUCAAUUUAAUUAAUUCAUUAUUGAUAAAUUAUAGUCAAAACAAUCUUCAAAUACAUCAAUUAUAGAACAAAAAUAUAUAUAAAAACUUAAAAUGUUCUUAAUCCAUUUUUCAUAUUUUUAAAUAUAUUUUAAAAAUAUAUUUUAUCCUAAUACUUUAUUUUUAAGUAUUUUUCAUAUUUGUAUAAUUAUUCUUUAAAAUAAAAUUUAGAAAAUAAGCAAAAAUAAUAAAAAAGAUGUUCCUUAAAAACACAAUAUUUUUUAUUUUUUAGAAUAAAAAGAUAUUUUCUAUCUUUAAAAAUAAAAAAUUAAUUUCUAUUUGUAGAAUUAAUGAAGGGCUAAAUCCAUCAAUUUAUAUAUAAAAUGAUUUACAUAAUAAAAAUGCAUGAGACGUGAUUUGACCUAACCGUACGUCCAUGAAUAAGAAAAACUAUUUUAUCAUGCAUAACAUAGAAAAUAUCAUAAAGAAUAUAAACCCAUUACAAAAACAAUUAUUUACGGCCACGUGGUGGGUUGUGAAAUAUGAAAUUUCUGGAAAAGAGUAUGGGAUGAUUGGGCUUGGGAGGAUGGAGGGUGGAUAUGAACCGAGAGCCGCCCAGAAGGGGCCCACUAAGAAGAUAGGUGCACACUAAGUUACAUAGUAUUAGUUUGGUGGGCUAAUAAUGGAACAAAAGGGUGGGGCCCAUUUCCUUAAUGUUGGAAUCAUAAUAUACUGGCCCAACUUGACAGGGCGGUGUUUACUUUGAUGCAGAUUGCUGACAUGGCACUUUUUCCCCAGAUAUUUUUUAUUUUACCAAAAUUUCUUCAACUUCUACAUUUAGAUUUUUUUUUCCCUCUGUAUAAUUAUUUAAAUUAUAUAUUCGAUAAAAAUUUUUAAAAAAAAAUUAAAAAAUGUGCAGAAAAAUUUCAACUUUUUAGAAUGUUGGGGAAAAUAGUUUUGAAAAACAGUUUUUAAGAAUUGUUUUGUAAAAAAUUGCUUUGAAAAACAGUUGUAUGAUAAGAAUAUGAUUUGGGGAAUAAAGUUGAGAAGAAGAUUAGGAUGGAAAGAGGCACAGGUGGAAGAGGGAGGAAAACACAAACUGAAAGUAGAAUAUCUGGUUGGUUCCAGGACAAGGUGGUGAGCCCACAUCGAAUCCAAGGAUUAGCUUUGAAACUACUACUCACGGCAUCUUUGCAGACCAAGCAAGCUUCUGCCAUUGGUUUCCUUUGUAAAAUGGCCUAGCUUAUAUAUCUAUCGUCAAAAGUAUAAAUUUGCAUUAUUAGCCCCAAUGAACAUGAAUCUGGAGGCAUUUUUUUCAGAGAAAUGCAGCUCUUUGGAAAAAAAAACCUCAUGAAAUCUCAAAUCGCUUGCACUUAAUUGCAGACUAAGUCAGAACUGUAAGUUUUCUUUUUGGGAAAAUAUAACUCUUCCCAAUUCCAGAAGGCAUUCAUGCUGUGAACCAUAUAUGUUGAAUUUUGAUUGGUUUUGUGAUAGGGUUUUAAGCUGCUGAAGGAAGCAUCAUUGCAGUCCAACACGUUCUAACCAGCAUCGUCCAUAGAAGUAAUAAAGAAUAGUAUUAAAAAAAAAAGGGCUUUUGAGGAUAAGAGAAAACCAUUAAUUUAAGAGAAAGGAAUGGACCAAAGCGCCACUUUGCCCUAUGCUAAUUAUAUAAUGAAUUUAAAAGAAGAAGAGAGCCAUUAAUUUUCACUUGCACUUUUACGAAGUGCAUUAAAUCAUAGGGGUUACGUGCACUUAAUUCAUUUAGAUCAACCAUUAAACUUCCCCACACAGGCCUCCCAAGUAUAUAUGGGUUCAUGGAAACAUGCUCCAAGUAUAUAUCGUCUGUUUAUCUGAGCGGCUUUUAAAUAGUAGAAACAAUGGCAGAAACCACAAUGAAGUUGAAUCUUGUAAUAGACAAGAACAGUCAGAAAGUCCGAUCCUCUAUACUGAAGCAGAAAAUGACUUCGUAGAUUUCCUCUUCAAUCUUUUUACAUUACUCGUUGGGACUGUUAUUAUGCUUCUUACAGAGAAGGGCAUGAUGGGUUGCCUGAGAGAUUUGUAUCAGAGCGUUGAAAAUUUGAGUGAAACUUACAUGCAGCCAAAUCAGAACAAGCCUCUACUAAAACCCAUUUUCCUAAGGUCGAGUUACUGCACUUUACCAACCCCCAAAAAGUUUUAUAUCUGUUUAUGAUGAAAUUUUUAUUUAAAAGUUAUCUAUGUUCUAAUAUAAUGUUAUUAUUAAAACUUAGGUAGUCAAUUCUAAAUUAAUAAAUGUUUGAUUAAAUCUAAAAAUCUAAAUAUUUAUAAAAAUCUUUAAAUUAAACUAAACAUAACCUACAAAUAAAAAAGAUAUUUGAUAAAAUAUCAAAUAUUUAAAUUAAAUUAAAAUUUACCAACAAUUAAAAUAACAUAUGUUUGAAUAAUUAUGUACCUAGUCAUGAAGUAAAAAAUACUUGAUUAAACUUAAAAGUCUAAACAUUUAAAAAUCUCUUGAAAUUAAACAAAACAUAGCCCACAGUAAAAAAUAUAUAUUUAAUAAAAUAUCAAAUACAAAAUUAUAAAAACUUAUUUUUCUAGAUUUAUUUUAUGUAUAUUAGGAUUUAAAUAAAUUUAAUUUUAUUAACAUUAAAUAAAAUUUAAAAUAUAAACAAACAAAUAUUUUAUAAAAUCUAUUCAAUGUUCAUGGUUAUCUAAUUUUUUAUUAUAUCUAUUUUUCUUUCACACACAAAAUUAGUUUUUUAGAGGGUAAACUUGCAUUUUUAUUUUUAGUUUUUAACUUUCUAAAAUUCCUAAAUAAGCAAAAGAAUUUUUUAUUUUUAAAAUAUGAGCGGGGGCAUAUACCCCCAAGCCUAUGGUGGCUUUGCCCUUGGCUAAAGGAAGCUUGGAUGUGAGAUAUUCCUUGAGAACCAUUGUCUAUACCAUUGCUAAAAAAGAAUAGAACCCAAAAACUUUUUGGGAAAGGGGAAAAAAUCAAAAUUCAAAGCCAUACUCGCAAGAAGAGAAUCAAAACCAUUAAUUGAGAGGAAGGGAAAGAAUCAAAACCACUUUAUCUUUGCUUAUAUAAUGAAUUUAAAACAAAAAGAAAACAAAUAUACUUUUUAGGAUUGAGAAAGGAAAGAAUCCAAGUUCAAAACCAUACUUGCAAGGAGAGAACCAAAACCAUUAAUUGAAGAGAAAGGAAAGAACCAAAACCACUUUGUCUUUGCUUAUAUAAUGAUUUUAAAACAAGAAGAGCACCACAAAUUCCACUUCAAGAUCACUAGUCAUCUAUUUUAAUUUCAUCUCCUUUUUCUCUCUCUAUUUUAGUUUUCUGUAGAAGCUCACUUUUAGGUACUUAAAAGUUAGUGGACUACUUUUUUGGUGGAAAUGGCUUUCAACUCAUGUAAGCUUACCAAACUUGGUUGAGUUGUAUGUUUGUUAAUUUUCUUGUUUUCUUGAUAAAUUAAUCCGUAUAGAUAUUAUCUGCUUCGAGUCUAAAGCAUUCUCAUGAUUUAAAAACACAUUUAUAAAAUUAAGAGGAGUUUAUACAUAAAUAGCGUCAAAUUUUUUUUCUCCUAUCUAUUAUGAGAUUUCAUGUAUAUAUAUAUUCAACUCACAUAAGCUUACCAAACAUGGGGUUGAGUUAUAUGUUUGUAAGUUUCCUUGUUUUCUUGAUAAAUUAAUCCAUAUAAAUAUUAUUCACUUUAGGCUUAAAGAGUUCUCACGAUUUAAAAACAUGUUUAUAAAAUUAAGAGGAGUUGAUAUAUAAAUGUAUAGCAUCAAAAUUUCUUUCUCCUUACCAAACUUGGCUGAGUUAUAUGUUUGUUAAUUUCCUUAUUUUCUUGAUAAAUUAAUCCAUGUAGAUAUUAUCUACUUCAAACUUAAAAAGUUCUCACAAUUUAAAAGCACGUUUAUAAAUUAAAGGGAGUUAAUACAUAAAUAAUGUCAAAAAAUUUUGUUAGUUUGUUUCCUCGUUAGUUAAUGCAUAAAUAAUAUCAUAUAUAGCGUUAACUCUGGUAAGCUUACCAAGCAUGGGGUUGAGUUAUAUGUAUGUUACUUUGUUAGUUUAUUUGUUUUCUUGAUAGAUUAAUCUAUAUAGAUAUUAUCCAUUUUAGGCUUAAAAAGUUUUCACGAUUUAAAAACAUGUUUAUAAAAUUAAGAGGAGUUCCUACAUAAAUAUAUAACAUCAAAUUCUUUUUUUCUCCUAUAUAUAUAUAUAUAUAUAUAUUUAUUUAUUUAUUUAUUCAACUUAGGUAAGCUUACCAAACUUAGCUGAGUUAUAUGUUUGUUAAUUUCCUUAUUUUUUUGAUAAAUUAAUCUGUAUAGAUAUUAUCUGUUUCAAGCCUAAAGAGUUUUCACGAUUUAAAAACAUGUUUAGAAAAUUAAGAGGAGUUAAUACAUAAAUAGCAUCAAAUUUUUUUCUUUUAUCUAAUGUGAGAUUUCAUAUAUAUAUAUAUAUAUAUAUAUACACAAUUGCAAUUGAGUUGUUACAUAACUAAUUUUGGUUUUAUGGUCUAAUUCAUGCAUGGCAACCAAAGCAACCCCUGAGAUGAACUUGAAGCUUCUAAUCAACACACAGGACAAUAAAGUUGUCUUCGCUGAAGCUGAAAAAGAUUUCAUAGAUUUACUGUUCAACCUCCUAACUUUGCCUAUUGGCACCAUUGUGGGUUUCCUCCCAAAAGAAGUUUGUCUAGGAGGCCUGCAUAAGAGUGUGAAAAAACUAGAGGGAGCUUACUUGCAGCCUAACCAGAGCUCAGACUCGCCCUUGAAGUUGAACACACCAGCAUAUGCUAUUCUUCCUCUCUUUAAUCCUUCUUCAUCAAGGAGUAAUGAUCCUUUCUUUCAUUGCUCUUCAUCAAGGAGUUAUGGUCAUGUGCAGGGCUUGGUUACCUACAUGGUGACUGAUGACUUGUCGAUUACACCCAUGUCCCUGACAGCAACCAUGGCUUUGUUUAAGAAGUGCAACAUAGAGGAAGUUAAUGUUCUUGAGGAGAAGGUGGUUAAAAUUGGUUUUGAUGAGGUAAACAAUCCUCUAGCUUAUUGGGUUUUAAUUGAUUUCUUUUCUAGCCUAUUCUCUUGUAGAUUUGGUUGGAGUUAUCUUUUUUCCAUAACACAAUUAAUUGGUAGAUGUUACUUGCAAAUCAAUUACCAAAUCAUUAAGCCUUGUUUGUUUGGUAAUUGAUUUUGAAAAUAGUUUUUUAUUUUGUAGAAUAAAAAGAAAAACACAUUUUCAAUUAAGAAACAAAAAAUAUAAUGUUUUUAAGUUGCUUUUAAAAAUAAUUAUAGAAAUACAAAAGAAUUAUUAAAAAUAAAGCAUUACAUGUAUUUAAAAACAUAAACAAAAAGUAAAUUAAAAAACAUUUUAGAUUCGUGUUUUUGUUUUAUAAAAUACCAUAAAAUAGUUUUUAAAAACCGUUUUCAUGAAUGUUUUUAAAAACAUAGCCUUCAUUUUUCUUUAAAAGUUUUGAAAGGUACAUUCUUUUUGAAUGUUUAUUUAAUCAAUCUUUUUGUUCACUUUUCAGGCUUUGCAGUUGUUGAAGUGUUCUCUGCAGUCCAACGCAGCUCUCACUGAAGUCUUCCUUGAGAAAGAAGAAACACAACAGUCCAAAGCAGCUCCCGCAGUUGCCGCAGUUGGCGCACCUCCCGCAGUUGCCGCAGUUGGCGAUAUGGGGUGUGGUUGUGGAAUCAGUUGCUGGUAGUGGGUAUGAUAGAUAGGGAGGUGGUGAGCUUGUCAUGACGUUUCAAACAGGAGCGGUUGCCGCAGUUGCCGAAGUUGCCGCACGUCCCGCACCUCCGGCAGUUACCAUUAACAGUCGCAGCUACCGCUGAAGUAUUACAAAUACAAAAGGACUAUGAAUAUGAUUGUUUGAGCAGGAGACCGACGUAGUAUUAAACUCCGUUUUCGAAUUUGCAAAAAUAAAAAAAUUGUAAGUCUCUAAAUAAUGUUUAUUUUUACAUGCCUUUAUAUAAUGUAAACUCUAUUUGUCCCCAAUUUUAU
Molecule: long non-coding RNA, 23999 nt
Filed under: Vitis vinifera (wine grape)
Lineage: Eukaryota; Viridiplantae; Streptophyta; Magnoliopsida; Vitales; Vitaceae
Description: long non-coding RNA (VVIN_LNC004022)
Source: RNAcentral